UACGGGGGGGGCAAGCGUUGUUCGGAAUUACUGGGCGUAAAGGGCUCGUAGGCGGCCAAUUAAGUCAUACGUGAAAUCCCUCGGCUUAACCGGGGAACUGCGUCUGAUACUGGAUGGCUUGAGUUCGGGAGAGGGAUGCGGAAUUCCAGGUGUAGCGGUGAAAUGCGUAGAUAUCUGGAGGAACACCGGUGGCGAAGGCGGCAUCCUGGACCGACACUGACGCUGAGGAGCGAAAGCCAGGGGAGCAAACGGG
This 253-nucleotide ribosomal RNA is filed under the name uncultured bacterium. RNAcentral's name for it is "partial 16S ribosomal RNA". It matches the Rfam family "Bacterial small subunit ribosomal RNA", at positions 524 to 776 of the family's 1533-position model. The record is from RNAcentral.